This is a long non-coding RNA of Chrysemys picta bellii (western painted turtle), 1919 nucleotides long. The record is from Ensembl. Lineage: Eukaryota; Metazoa; Chordata; Testudines; Emydidae.
AAUUUUGUGUAAUGCUUUAAAUUAAGUUUCUCACAUAUGCAUUUAAUUGAAAUGUAUUGAGAUGGUUAUUUAUGUUAAUAAAAUAAUUAAAAGCAGUUAUUUAAGACUAACUACAAAAUAGCUGUGUAACUACCUAUAUUAAUAAGACAGUUAGUUAAAGGAUAAUGUCUAUUGCUUUAUAGUGUAAUUGCAAUAAACAGCUGCUGAGUUAGAUUAAGAGCCAAAGUGAAACUAAAGUGUUUUAGCAAUCUCAAAAGCUAUUUGUUUGUAAGUAUACUACAAAGCAAUAGAGAUUAUUCCUGUUAUACAACAGCUAUAGCAUAAACAUUAAAAUAUGAUUUUCCUAAGUGCUUUGAUUCCUUUCUCUCAGAUUUUCCACCUACACCACAAGAGAAGGCAAGGCUAGAAUCAGUGGGGAAUGGCUUGUGCAGAGAAGGACAUGUAUGAGAGAGUGUUUAUAGGGUGAUUUACUGUCCUAAUUUAUAGCCAUGCAUUACUAUUGACUUCAAUGAGAUUAUGUGUGGAUGUAAGUCAGGGCAGAAACUGUGUUAACCAGUUGUAUUUUUAGGGUUUCAUCAUUCAAAAAUCUUGUUUGAUUUUUUUUUGGUUAAAAAAAGCUCUUCCUUGGCUCCAGAUCAAACCUACCAGAUUUUAGGCUAAUGGGACUUUUUUGUGGAAGUGGGCAGGGGAAAGUCAAGCUUAUAAUAGAAACUCAUCAGCAGCCUUGUUUAGGAAGUGGCUGCUGCCAUUACAUAAUUAACAGACAAAGAAGAGACACUUUCUGGUUCCUAAGCUAUGGCAUUUUAUGGCUGUGUGUCAUAGCGAAUACACAGAACUCAGACAUUAGGUUGUGGUAAGUAAGCAAAUGACAAUACUGUGUAUUUAUUUGUAUUGCAGUUGUGAUUUACAGACUCCGAGUUGGCACCCAUUGUGCUAGGCACUGUACAUACAUCCAAUGAAAAAGAUGUUCCAUGUGCCAAUGACCAGAAAGACUGAUUCAAAUAUUCUUUUAAAUCUAGGUCUUGGAUCCUGCAAGUCAAUAGAACUAUCAAGUGAGUCUCCUGACUGUACUGCCAUGUUGUUGUGCACUUCAGGUCCUUUACAUCAGAGAAGGCGAUUGAGAGGAUGCCUUUAUUCCUGUGGCUCCAGGCAGGUACAUGACAAAAAAGAUAUUAAUUUCUUUGUGUUCCUUGAAAAUAUUGAAAGAAAGAAAGAAAGAAAGAAAGAAAGAAAGAAAGAAAGAAAGAAAGAAAGAAAGAAAGAAAGAAAGAAAGGCACAUUAAUGUGUGUUUAAAUAAUUUGGUAGCAAAUUGUUCACAAGUUUCUAAUCACUGCACACUAACUUCAUUUGUAGCAAUUUUGGGAGAGGAUAAGUUUGGAAAUAGGGAGGAUUGUUCCAGCUGGAGACAGGGAAAUAUUUCUGUGUGUAUGUUGGUGUUAGUGAGUUUCACAUGUCACGUGUGAUGCUAAAAGAAGAUUCACAGUGGCAGGGCGAUAAAGUGUACACAGUGAGCAUGAGUGAACUGGUUCCGAUUAAAAUAACCACCCUAUUUGGACCAUCACCCAUUUCCAGACCUCAUUCCUAGAAUGAAAGAAGUGAGGCUAUACCCUUCCUGUUAACUCCCCACUCUCUCUCUCUCUCUCUCUCUCUCACACACACACACAGACACAAAACACGGCUUAUCUUCACUUAAAACGCUACAACAGCACAGCUUUGUCGCUGUAGCUCUUUAGUGUAAACAUUACCUACAAGGAUAGGAAGGAUUCUUCCCUCAGCAUAGUUAAUCCAUCUCCCCAGGAGUGGUAGCUAGAUCAACAACUAAAUCGACUUAGUGACUUAAUUACACCGCUGUGGAGGGGGGGUUGAUUUUUCACACCUUUGACUGACAUAGUUAAACCAACCUAAUUUUCUAGUGAAG